RNAcentral lists this ribosomal RNA (445 nucleotides) under uncultured bacterium. RNAcentral describes it as "partial 16S ribosomal RNA". It matches the Rfam family "Bacterial small subunit ribosomal RNA", at positions 354 to 796 of the family's 1533-position model. The record is from RNAcentral.
GUGAGGAAUAUUGGUCAAUGGGCGAGAGCCUGAACCAGCCAAGUCGCGUGAAGGAAGAAGGAUCUAUGGUUCGUAAACUUCUUUUGCAGGGGAAUAAAGUGCAGGACGUGUCCUGUUUUGUAUGUACCCUGAGAAUAAGGAUCGGCUAACUCCGUGCCAGCAGCCGCGGUAAUACGGAGGAUCCGAGCGUUAUCCGGAUUUAUUGGGUUUAAAGGGUGCGUAGGUGGUUUGAUAAAUCAGCGGUGAAAGUUUGCAGCUUAACUGUAAAAAUGCCGUUGAAACUGUCGGACUUGAGUGUAAAUGAGGUAGGCGGAAUGCGUGGUGUAGCGGUGAAAUGCAUAGAUAUCACGCAGAACUCCGAUUGCGAAGGCAGCUUACUAAGCUACAACUGACACUGAAGCACGAAAGCGUGGGGAUCAAACAGGAUUAGAUACCCCAGUAGUCC